This 700-nucleotide ribosomal RNA is filed under the name uncultured bacterium. RNAcentral's name for it is "bacterial SSU rRNA". It matches the Rfam family "Bacterial small subunit ribosomal RNA", at positions 44 to 739 of the family's 1533-position model. The record is from RNAcentral.
GGGCCUAACACAUGCAAGUCGAGCGGUAGAGAGGAGCUUGCUCCUCUUGAGAGCGGCGGACGGGUGAGUAAUGCCUAGGAAUCUGCCUGGUAGUGGGGGAUAACGUUCGGAAACGGACGCUAAUACCGCAUACGUCCUACGGGAGAAAGCAGGGGACCUUCGGGCCUUGCGCUAUCAGAUGAGCCUAGGUCGGAUUAGCUAGUUGGUGAGGUAAUGGCUCACCAAGGCGACGAUCCGUAACUGGUCUGAGAGGAUGAUCAGUCACACUGGAACUGAGACACGGUCCAGACUCCUACGGGAGGCAGCAGUGGGGAAUAUUGGACAAUGGGCGAAAGCCUGAUCCAGCCAUGCCGCGUGUGUGAAGAAGGUCUUCGGAUUGUAAAGCACUUUAAGUUGGGAGGAAGGGCAGUAAAUUAAUACUUUGCUGUUUUGACGUUACCGACAGAAUAAGCACCGGCUAACUCUGUGCCAGCAGCCGCGGUAAUACAGAGGGUGCAAGCGUUAAUCGGAAUUACUGGGCGUAAAGCGCGCGUAGGUGGUUUGUUAAGUUGGAUGUGAAAUCCCCGGGCUCAACCUGGGAACUGCAUUCAAAACUGACUGACUAGAGUAUGGUAGAGGGUGGUGGAAUUUCCUGUGUAGCGGUGAAAUGCGUAGAUAUAGGAAGGAACACCAGUGGCGAAGGCGACCACCUGCACUAAUA